UCCCCCUAAAGUGAGCGUCCUGCCGCCGUCCAGUGAAGAGAUUUCCACAAAGCAAGCAGCAACACUGAUGUGUGUGGCCAACAAGGGCUUCCCCUCAGACUGGAGUCUGAACUGGAAGGUGGACGGGAUCAGCAGCAGGUCUCAGUACAGCAGUGUUGCUCUCCUGGAGAAGGACGGUCUGUACAGCUGGAGCAGCAGUCUGACUCUCUCUGAGCAGGAGUGGAGCUCAGUGAUCUCAGUCAGCUGUGAGCUCACACAGAAAGACCAGCGUGAUAAAGUCACUGGAGAAUUGAGGAGAGAUCAGUGUUCACAGUAG
This is a non-coding RNA of Misgurnus anguillicaudatus (oriental weatherfish), 316 nucleotides long. The record is from the annotation of a RefSeq genome assembly. Lineage: Eukaryota; Metazoa; Chordata; Actinopteri; Cypriniformes; Cobitidae.